GCAUUAAUGGGGUAGUGGUAACCUGGGUCGUUGCCAUUCCAAACUUUAAGGCAUGCUUCGACCCGCCGGGGGUUCGAUUCCCCCUUAAUGCA
Non-coding RNA from Mycena galopus ATCC 62051, 92 nucleotides. The record is from the annotation of a GenBank genome assembly. Lineage: Eukaryota; Fungi; Basidiomycota; Agaricomycetes; Agaricales; Mycenaceae.